GACUUGAUCAGUACCUUGUUUUGUCUCCACUCUGUGUGUCUGUGAGUGUUUGUCCCAUCUCUCACUCUCUCCCCCAGGAAACCUGUUUGACCAUCCUGUGAGUCAGGACAAUCAAAUGCUGGGGAUGUAACAGAGCUGGAUCAUCUCCAACAAGGUUCUUCAAGGGAAAUGCACCAAGGCCAGCUACAGUCACAGAGCAAGAGCACCCAGAAACAUUCCAUGCUCUGUCAAUGACAGAGCCCAGGCAACUGCUUCACAGAAGGAAGAUCACAUCAUCCCCUCUCCAAGGAAAUGCAGCUGAAAUACAAUGUCUGUUCCAUGCUCAUCCACAAGUACAUCAAAGUCCAGGUGGUUCAAGGACACUACAAAGGUCAGCACACUGGCAAGGUAGUCCAGGCUUGAAGAAAGAAAUAUGUCAUCUACAUUGAACAAGGUACAGCAUGAGAAGGCUAAUGGCACAACCUUCCACAUGGCCAUUCACCUGGAACUGGACAAAGAUCAAAAACAAAUUCUUGAAUGCAAAGCCAAGUCUUGACAAAUUCGAAAGAAUAAAGGCAAAUAUAAGAACUUGUUGAGAACAUGCAGGAAUGAAUAGAACCUGUUGUGCAAUCAUGAUGUAACUACAUAUUUUUAGCUUGGUGUGUACUUCUUUGGAAUUUUCUAAGAUGUCUCUGAAACAUUGUGUCUACCCCCCACCCCAUUUUGUUACUGACUGUAAGUCUGCUUUUACAAUUUUGACUAAUAAUUUUAUGAA
This is a long non-coding RNA of Tupaia belangeri chinensis (Chinese tree shrew), 754 nucleotides long. RefSeq lists it as uncharacterized. The transcript is spliced from 3 exons. The record is from RefSeq and is a predicted model, not a curated record. NCBI's taxonomy places the organism in Eukaryota, Metazoa, Chordata, Mammalia, Scandentia, Tupaiidae.